AGUGGCGGACGGGUGAGUAACGCGUGAGCAAUCUGUCCCACAAGGGGGAUAACAACUGGAAACAGUUGCUAAUACCGCAUAAGACCACACUGUCGCAUGACAGAGAGGUCAAAGGAGCAAUCCGCUGUGGGGUGAGCUCGCGUCCGAUUAGAUAGUUGGUGGGGUAACGGCCUACCAAGGCGACGAUCAGUAGCCGACCUGAGAGGGUAAUCUGCCACAAUGGGACUGAGACACGGCCCAUACUCC
Molecule: ribosomal RNA, 246 nt
Filed under: uncultured Eubacteriales bacterium
Lineage: Bacteria; Bacillati; Bacillota; Clostridia; Eubacteriales
Description: uncultured Clostridiales bacterium partial 16S ribosomal RNA
Rfam family: Bacterial small subunit ribosomal RNA
Source: RNAcentral